Molecule: ribosomal RNA, 292 nt
Filed under: Candidatus Hodgkinia sp.
Lineage: Bacteria; Pseudomonadati; Pseudomonadota; Alphaproteobacteria; Hyphomicrobiales
Description: partial 16S ribosomal RNA
Rfam family: Bacterial small subunit ribosomal RNA
Source: RNAcentral
GUGCCAGCCGCCGCGGUAACACGAGGGGAGCAAGCGUUGUUCGGUUUGAUUGGGCGUAAAGCGCGCGUAGGCGGCUGCGCAAGUCGAGAAGUCAAACAACGGAGCUCAACUCCGUUACGCUUCCGAUACUACGCGGCUUGAGGUCGGCGGAGGCGAACGGAACUCCAAGUGUAGAGGUGAAAUUCGUUGAUAUUUGGAGGAACACCAGAGGCGAAAGCGGUUCGCCAUGCCGAUUCUGACGCUAAUGCGCUAAAGCGUGGGGAGCAAACAGGAUUAGAUACCCCCGUAGUCC